This 325-nucleotide ribosomal RNA is filed under the name uncultured Fissuroma. Its description in RNAcentral is "SSU rRNA". It matches the Rfam family "Eukaryotic small subunit ribosomal RNA", at positions 292 to 616 of the family's 1831-position model. Lineage: Eukaryota; Fungi; Ascomycota; Dothideomycetes; Pleosporales; Aigialaceae. The record is from RNAcentral.
GGUUCAUUCAAAUUUCUGCCCUAUCAACUUUCGAUGGUAAGGUAUUGGCUUACCAUGGUUUCAACGGGUAACGGGGAAUUAGGGUUCGAUUCCGGAGAGGGAGCCUGAGAAACGGCUACCACAUCCAAGGAAGGCAGCAGGCGCGCAAAUUACCCAAUCCCGACACGGGGAGGUAGUGACAAUAAAUACUGAUACAGGGCUCUUUUGGGUCUUGUAAUUGGAAUGAGUACAAUUUAAACCCCUUAACGAGGAACAAUUGGAGGGCAAGUCUGGUGCCAGCAGCCGCGGUAAUUCCAGCUCCAAUAGCGUAUAUUAAAGUUGUUGC